Molecule: long non-coding RNA, 3048 nt
Organism: Oncorhynchus nerka (sockeye salmon)
Lineage: Eukaryota; Metazoa; Chordata; Actinopteri; Salmoniformes; Salmonidae
Exons: 2
Source: RefSeq, a predicted model, not a curated record
CACCUGUUAAAUGAUUCCCAUGUCUCUCCCCCUCACCUGUUAAAUGAUUCCCAUGUCUCUCCCCCUUCACCUGUUACAGAUAACAAAAAUUAUAUAGUGAGUCUUCACUUUCUGGUUCUCCUCAAGGCUCAAAGCCUCUCGAUCCACUCAGAUAUCCAAAACCAAGUAGUUUUCUGUUCCUGCAGGUUGCUUGUUAUCUCAUUACAGGACUUUAUCAGCCAAUAAAAACACAAAUAUCUUAUAACACAGUUGAUGUCCAUAUUAGAGAAGACAGCUGUAGGAUGGAUGGGCAACCUCUGAUACAGGUGAGGUGUUAGUUUGGACAGGACAGGUGAGGUGUUAGUUUGGACAGGACAGGUGAGGUGUUAGUUUGGACAGGGCAGGUGAGGUGUUAGUUUGGACAGGACAGGUGAGGUGUUAGUUUGGACAGGACAGGUGAGGUGUUAGUUUGGACAGGACAGGUGAGGUGUUAGUUUGGACAGGGCAGGUGAGGUGUUAGUUUGGACAGGGCAGGUGAGGUGUUAGUUUGGACAGGGCAGGUGAGGUGUUAGUUUGGACAGGACAGGUGAGGUGUUAGUUUGGACAGGGCAGGUGAGGUGUUAGUUUGGACAGGACAGGUGAGGUGUUAGUUUGGACAGGGCAGGUGAGUUGUUAGUUUGGACAGGACAGGUGAGGUGUUAGUUUGGACAGGACAGGUGAGGUGUUAGUUUGGACAGGGCAGGUGAGGUGUUAGUUUGGACAGGGCAGGUGAGGUGUUAGCUUGGACAGGGCAGGUGAGGUGUUAGUUUGGACAGGGCAGGUGAGGUGUUAGUUUGGACAGGACAGGUGAGGUGUUAGUUUGGACAGGACAGAAGACAGUGGUGUCUCUCAUUCUUCCUCUUCAUUAUAUCACAACAUCCCAGUGUAACCUUGUCCCUGCCUGGAUACAGUAGUACAGUACCUUUAGAUAUGACCUAUAUAUCACAACAUCCCAGUGUAACCUUGUCCCUGCCUGGAUACAGUAGUACAGUACCUUUAGAUAUGACCUAUAUAUCACAACAUCCCAGUGUAACCUUGUCCCUGCCUGGAUACAGUAGUACAGUACCUUUAGAUAUGACCUAUAUAUCACAACAUCCCAGUGUAACCUUGUCCCUGCCUGGAUACAGUAGUACAGUACCUUUAGAUAUGACCUAUAUAUCACAACAUCCCAAAUAACACCUUAUUCCCUUUAUAGUGCACUACUUUACAACAGAGACCUAUGAGCCAUUUGGGAAGCGGCCUGUGUGUUCUGUCUCACCUGAGGGGUGUGUGUGUGUGUUCUGUCCCACCUGAGGUGUGUGUGUUCUGUCUCACCUGAGGUGUGUGUGUGUGUUCUGUCUCACCUGAGGUGUGUGUGUGUGUUCUGUCUCAUCUGAGGUGUGUGUGUGUGUUCUGUCUCAUCUGAGGUGUGUGUGUGUGUUCUGUCUCAUCUGAGGUGUGUGUGUGUGUUCUGUCUCACCUGAGGUGUGUGUGUGUGUUCUGUCUCACCUGAGGUGUGUGUGUGUGUGUGUGUGUUCUGUCUCACCUGAGGUGUGUGUGUGUGUGUGUGUGUGUGUUCUGUCUCACCUGGCGUGUGUGUGUGUUCUGUCUUACCUGGUAUGUGUGUGUGUGUUCUGUCUUACCUGAGGGGUGUGUGUGUGUGUUCUGUCUCACCUGAGGGGGGCUGUGUGUGUGUGUUCUGUCUCACCUGAGGUGUUCUGUCCUUUCUGUCACACCUACCUGUCCGCCACGAUCCAUUGUGGACACCUGAACAUUCGUCUCUAUGACGGGUGUCUUUCAGAAGUCCUCUGGCUACGUUUACACAGGCAGCCCAGUUCUGAUCUUUUGCCACCUAAUUGAUAUUUUGCCAAUUAAAAGAUAAGAAUUGGACUGCCAGCGUAAAAGGACGUAACGUAACGCCCGUAUGACUUGGAGAGAAGUCUACACAUCAUCGCCUUGCCAUUCCACCAAAAUACAUGGAAUGCCCAUCGGAAGGACUACGGUCUGGGAUGGUAAUAUAAGGUCUGGGAUGGUAAUAGAAGGUCUGGGAUGGUAAUAGAAGGUCUGGGAUGGUAAUAGAAGGUCUGGGAUGGUUAUAGAAGGUCUGGGAUGGUAAUAGAAGGUCUGGGAUGGUAAUAGAAGGUCUGGGAUGGUAAUAGAAGGUAUGGGAUGGUUAUAGAAGGUCUGGGAUGGUUAUAGAAGGUCUGGGAUGGUUAUAGAAGGUCUACAGGGAAUCUAUAUGUUAUCCGAUAGGGUCUCAGUGGAUAUAAGGUCUGCAGGAAUCUAUAUGUGAUCCGAUAGGGUCUCAGUAGAUAUAAGGUCUGGGAUGGUUAUAGUAGAUCUACAGGAAUCUAUAUGUGAUCCGAUAGGGUCUCAGUAGAUAUAAGGUCUGGGAUGGUUAUAGUAGAUCUACAGGAAUCUAUAUGUGAUCUGAUAGGGUCUCAGUAGAUAUAAGGUCUGGGAUGGUUAUAGUAGAUCUACAGGAAUCUAUAUGUGAUCCGAUAGGGUCUCAGUAGAUAUAAGGUCUGGGAUGGUUAUAGUAGAUCUACAGGGAUCUAUAUGUGAUCCGAUAGGGUCUCAGUAGAUAUAAGGUCUGGGAUGGUUAUAGUAGAUCUACAGGGAUCUAUAUGUGAUCCGAUAGGGUCUCAGUAGAUAUAAGGUCUGGGAUGGUUAUAGUAGAUCUACAGGGAUCUAUAUGUGAUCCGAUAGGGUCUCAGUAGAUAUAAGGUCUGCAUGACACUAUACACUUGGGACACUUAUUAACAUGUUUCCAUAUAAUCAUAUUGGUGUGUGUUAUUGUGUAAGUGUGUGUGUGGUGUGUGUGUCUUAGUGUGUAAGAGGUUCCCCCUGGUUUAGGCUAUACUGCUGUGCUAGCCAAGGGAUUUUUAGGUUGUAUAAGCAAUAUUAAAUAUGGACUGUUGUUGUUUUUUUUGGUGUGUAUUUUUGGAAGUGGAAGGGAGGAGGGAACGGAGAGGGGUAUUGCUUCUUAUUUCUCCCUGGUGACUGAGACACAUAUUGAUGAUGUAACAGCAGUAAAUUAUUUAUCCUAAA